AUCCCAGACUCCUACGGGAGGCAGCAGUGGGGAAUAUUGCACAAUGGGGGGAACCCUGAUGCAGCGACGCCGCGUGGGUGAAGAAGUCAUUCGUUACGUAAAGCUCUAUCAGCAGGGAAGAAAAUGACGGUACCUGACUAAGAAGCCCCGGCUAACUACGUGCCAGCAGCCGCGGUAAUACGUAGGGGGCAAGCGUUAUCCGGAUUUACUGGGUGUAAAGGGAGCGUAGGCGGCCUGCCAAGUCUGAUGUGAAAUACCGGGGCUCAACCCCGGGGCUGCAUUGGAAACUGGCAGGCUGGAGUGUCGGAGAGGCAGGCGGAAUUCCUAGUGUAGCGGUGAAAUGCGUAGAUAUUAGGAGGAACACCAGUGGCGAAGGCGGCCUGCUGGACGAUGACUGACGCUGAGGCUCGAAAGCGUGGGGAGCAAACAGGAUUAGAUACCCCAGUAU
This 448-nucleotide ribosomal RNA is filed under the name uncultured bacterium. Its description in RNAcentral is "partial 16S ribosomal RNA". It matches the Rfam family "Bacterial small subunit ribosomal RNA", at positions 328 to 793 of the family's 1533-position model. The record is from RNAcentral.